RNAcentral lists this ribosomal RNA (485 nucleotides) under uncultured bacterium. Its description in RNAcentral is "partial 16S ribosomal RNA". It matches the Rfam family "Bacterial small subunit ribosomal RNA", at positions 28 to 507 of the family's 1533-position model. The record is from RNAcentral.
GAUGAACGCUAGCGAUAGGCUUAACACAUGCAAGUCGAGGGGCAGCGAGGGUAGCAAUACCUGUCGGCGACCGGCGCACGGGUGAGUAACGCGUAUGUAACCUGCCCGCAACAGGGGGAUAACCCGGCGAAAGUCGGACUAAUACCGCAUAAAACAGGGGUCCCGCAUGGGAAUAUUUGUUAAAGAUUUAUCGGUUGCGGAUGGGCAUGCGUACCAUUAGGUAGUUGGUGAGGUAACGGCUCACCAAGCCUUCGAUGGUUAGGGGUUCUGAGAGGAAGGUCCCCCACACUGGUACUGAGACACGGACCAGAAUCCUACGGGAGGCAGCAGUGAGGAAGAUUGGUCAAUGGGCGAGAGCCUGAACCAGCCAAGUCGCGUGAAGGAUGACUGCGCUAUGGGUUGUAAACUUCUUUUACAAGGGAAUAAAAUGAGAUACGUGUAUUUUAUUGCAUGUACCUUGGGAAUAAGCAUCGGCUAACUCCGUG